UGGGGAAUUUUGCGCAAUGGGCUAACGCCUGACGCAGCAACGCCGCGUGGAGGAUGAAGGUCUUUGGAUUGUAAACUCCUGUCAGCAGGGAAAAAGGGAUAGGCGCUAAUACCGCUUAAACUUGAUUGUACCUGCAGAGGAAGCCCCGGCUAACUCUGUGCCAGCAGCCGCGGUAAUACAGAGGGGGCAAGCGUUAUUCGGAAUUAUUGGGCGUAAAGGGCGCGUAGGCGGCUUUGCAAGUGGCGGGUGAAAUCCCUCGGCUUAACCGAGGAACUGCCUGCCAGACUGUGAGGCUUGAGACCGGGAGAGGUGAGUGGAAUUCCCAGUGUAGCGGUGAAAUGCGUAGAUAUUGGGAGGAACACCAGUGGCGAAGGCGGCUCACUGGACCGGUACUGACGCUGAGGCGCGAAAGCGUGGGGAGCAAACAGG
Molecule: ribosomal RNA, 429 nt
Filed under: uncultured bacterium
Lineage: Bacteria
Description: bacterial SSU rRNA
Rfam family: Bacterial small subunit ribosomal RNA
Source: RNAcentral